Molecule: ribosomal RNA, 483 nt
Filed under: uncultured bacterium
Lineage: Bacteria
Description: partial 16S ribosomal RNA
Rfam family: Bacterial small subunit ribosomal RNA
Source: RNAcentral
GACGAACGCUGGCGGCGUGCUUAACACAUGCAAGUCGAACGCUGAAGCUCAGCUUUUGUUGGGUGGAUGAGUGGCGAACGGGUGAGUAACACGCGAGUAACCUGCCUCCUUCUUUGGGAUAACGCCCGGAAACGGGUGCUAAUACUGGAUAUUCACUGGUCUUCGCAUGGGGGUUGGUGGAAAGGGUUUUUCUGGUGGGGGAUGGGCUCGCGGCCUAUCAGCUUGUUGGUGGGGUGAUGGCCUACCAAGGCUUUGACGGGUAGCCGGCCUGAGAGGGUGACCGGUCACAUUGGGACUGAGAUACGGCCCAGACUCCUACGGGAGGCAGCAGUGGGGAAUAUUGCACAAUGGGCGCAAGCCUGAUGCAGCGACGCCGCGUGAGGGAUGGAGGCCUUCGGGUUGUGAACCUCUUUCGCUCAUGGUCAAGCCGCAACAAUGGUUGUGGUGAGGGUAGUGGGUAAAGAAGCGCCGGCUAACUACGUG